GACGAACGCUGGCGGCGUGCUUAACACAUGCAAGUCGAACGGAAAGGCCCUGCUUUUGUGGGGUGCUCGAGUGGCGAACGGGUGAGUAACACGUGAGUAACCUGCCCUUGACUUUGGGAUAACUUCAGGAAACUGGGGCUAAUACCGGAUAGGAGCUCCUGCUGCAUGGUGGGGGUUGGAAAGUUUCGGCGGUUGGGGAUGGACUCGCGGCUUAUCAGCUUGUUGGUGGGGUAGUGGCUUACCAAGGCUUUGACGGGUAGCCGGCCUGAGAGGGUGACCGGCCACAUUGGGACUGAGAUACGGACCAGACUCCUACGGGAGGCAGCAGUGGGGAAUAUUGCACAAUGGGCGGAAGCCUGAUGCAGCAACGCCGCGUGCGGAAUGACGGCCUUCGGGUUGUAAACCGCUUUCGCCUGUGACGAAGCGUGAGUGACGGUAAUGGGUAAAGAAGCACCGGCUAACUACGUG
Molecule: ribosomal RNA, 468 nt
Filed under: uncultured bacterium
Lineage: Bacteria
Description: partial 16S ribosomal RNA
Rfam family: Bacterial small subunit ribosomal RNA
Source: RNAcentral